Molecule: ribosomal RNA, 497 nt
Filed under: uncultured bacterium
Lineage: Bacteria
Description: partial 16S ribosomal RNA
Rfam family: Bacterial small subunit ribosomal RNA
Source: RNAcentral
GAUGAACGCUGGCGGCGUGCUUAACACAUGCAAGUCGAGCGAACAGACGAGGAGUUUGCUCCUUUGACGUUAGCGGCGGACGGGUGAGACACACGUGGAUACUCUCCCUAUCUGACUGGUAUAACUUCGGGAAUCGGGAGCAUAUACCGGAUAAUAUAUUGAACCGCAUGGUUCAAUAGUGAAAGACGGUUUUGCUGUCACUUAUAGCUGGAUCCGCGCCGCAUUAGCUAGUUGGUACGGUAACGGCUUACCAAGGCAACGAUGCGUAGCCGACCUGAGAGAGUGAUCGGCGGCACGGGAGCUGAGACGCGGUCCAGGGUCCUGCGGGAGGCAGCAGAAGGGAAUCGGCCGCAGUAGGCGAGAGCCUGACAGAGCGGCGCCGCGUGAGUGGUGAAGAUGUUCGGUUCGUGAAGCUCUGUUAUUAGGGGAGAACAAAUGUGUAAGUAACUAUGCACGUCUUGACGGUACCUGGUCAGGAAGCAACGGCUAACUACGUG